RNAcentral lists this ribosomal RNA (238 nucleotides) under uncultured bacterium. Its description in RNAcentral is "partial 16S ribosomal RNA". It matches the Rfam family "Bacterial small subunit ribosomal RNA", at positions 118 to 347 of the family's 1533-position model. The record is from RNAcentral.
UGGGUAACCCAUCCCGAUGACCGGGACAACCCGAGGAAACUCAGGCUAAUACCGGAUGUGGUCCCUCAUCACCAGAUGAGUGACUAAAGAUAGCUUCGGCCUUCGCAUCGGGACGGGCCCGCGGCCCAUUAGCUUGUUGGUGGGGUAACGGCCUACCAAGGCAACGAUGGGUAGCUGGUCUGAGAGGACGAUCAGCCACACUGGGACUGAGACACGGCCCAGACCUCCGUACGGGAGG